CUGGCGGCGUGCCUAAUACAUGCAAGUCGAACGCACUCUCGUUUAGAUUGAAGGAGCUUGCUCCUGAUUGAUAAACAUUUGAGUGAGUGGCGGACGGGUGAGUAACACGUGGGUAACCUGCCCUAAAGUGGGGAUAACAUUUGGAAACAGAUGCUAAUACCGCAUAAAACCUAACACCGCAUGGUGUAGGGUUGAAAGAUGGUUUCGGCUAUCACUUUAGGAUGGACCCCGCGGUGCAUUAGUUAGUUGGUGAGGUAAAGGCUCACCAAGACCGUGAUGCAUAGCCGACCUGAGAGGGUAAUCGGCCACACUGGGACUGAGACACGGCCCAGACUCCUACGGGAGGCAGCAGUAGGGAAUCUUCCACAAUGGACGAAAGUCUGAUGGAGCAACGCCGCGUGAGUGAAGAAGGUUUUCGGAUCGUAAAACUCUGUUGUUGGAGAAGAAUGUAUCUGAUAGUAACUGAUCAGGUAGUGACGGUAUCCAACCAGAAAGCCACGGCUAACUACGUG
This 512-nucleotide ribosomal RNA is filed under the name uncultured bacterium. RNAcentral describes it as "bacterial SSU rRNA". It matches the Rfam family "Bacterial small subunit ribosomal RNA", at positions 36 to 507 of the family's 1533-position model. The record is from RNAcentral.